RNAcentral lists this long non-coding RNA (1425 nucleotides) under Bemisia tabaci. RNAcentral's name for it is "lncRNA ENSSSA3NGG006120". The record is from RNAcentral. Lineage: Eukaryota; Metazoa; Arthropoda; Insecta; Hemiptera; Aleyrodidae.
UCCUACAGCGAAUCUAUGAAAUUAGUAAAAUUUACAGAUUGUUAGCUCCUUUCGACUUUUUUUAAAAUCUGCGAUAUGGUAAGUAUUAAAAUUGGACCGCGUUAAACAGAAAGGAACCAAGCCACAUCAGCUAUUGCCUUUAACUGGGCAAUUUAAUUUUUUACAUGAAAACGCUUGUGCAGAUUUUCAUGUAAAUUUCAGAGAAUUUUCUCCACAGUGCGAAGCGAAUUCCUUAAAAUUUUCAAAAAAAUCCGCACAAACGUUUCCUCGUAAAAAAUUAAAGUGCCCGCUUAAAUUUGGCAAUAGCUGAUGCGGCUUGGUUCCUUUCUGUUAAACGCGGUCCAAUUAGUUGUCGAUGUACAUUUUGACCGGGAUAUUUCUAUGUUUGAAAUGUAUAUUACGUUUUGUAAUGAGUUUCAUAAAUAUUUUUUGGUGUUUCAGAGACUGGAUAGUUUUCGGGACUCCAUAUGAAUCGAUUGAACUUUGGCUGAGAUUGCCCACGAAACAAUGGACGGGCCUUUAGGAUGGGUGCCCGAUGUGCAGCUCAAACAAGAGGUCGUGUCUGACGAAUCCACGGAAUAUGAAGAAUAUCGAACAGAUUUUAGACAAGAUACCAAGCUCCAUGUCAAAUCAGAAUUUCUUCAAAAGCAGCCAGUUGUGUUCCCAGAGGAACUCGAUCGCACAUUGGUCAACAAUGGAACCGGCUACACUGGCGACCUGCAAAACUCACCGGUGCCUUUUCAAGAACCUUAUACUGAUUAUCAAGAAGAACCUGACAUCGAUUUCAAGGACAACCUAGCAGAGUCUGCUCCUUUUGAACGGAAAUACGUGACUUCGUCACUGCUGUCGCGUAUAAAAGUAGAAGAAGCACAGGAAAAUGAAAAACCGCUCUCAGAACUCGUCAGCAAGAGCGCCGUCCUUCGUUUGGUCCGGAAUCAAGAAUCGGACGUCGGAUCAUCGACGAACGAGCCGUCCGACUCAAGACCGGAAAUCGAGCGUCAGGACGAAACCGCCACAGGCAAAUCUGAGGAAGACGGUACUUAUCAAAUAAUCAGCGGUCGAAAUUUGAACGGACAGAAAAAUCCGUUUGUCCUGCUGGAAAGACUCGAUCCAGUGUUCGUGCACUAUCAUUUGAAAACACCGGAUUCUGCCGCGAGUUCAAGUCGUUCUGCCCCGUCCUUGUUCCAGGUGAAAACGGAGGGAGGAUCAGGUGUAGAUCAUGGAUCUGUCCACAAUCAUAUCCCAGAAAACGAAGGAAUCAACAAAUGUCUGUAAGCUUCCCAGAAUUGUCGUUACAAAUAGAACAAAAAGUGUCCAAAAUGAAGGCCGUAGAAACCUUCACUUCAACUAACGAUACAAACAAGCUUCAUCAUAAAACUACAAAUAAAUCUGCCUCUAGGAACAGUCCCAAUCCUCCCAUAUUAC